GAUCGAACUCAAGAGUGAGUUACAAGGAAUACGAUUUAUCGAGAAACCGGUUACAAUAUAUUAGAAGAUUACGCCAACCGCCAUCUUGUGACCUAAUUCUUUUGAGUUGAGAAGAAGAAGCAUAGGACUGCAUGUAAAUUGUAAACCAAAAUUAAACGUAAACACGUUUGUUAAUUCAUGAAAUCGACUUAAUUUUUAAUGCAUUCAAAAAUACCGCGCUAUUGGAGUCGAGUUUUUAUAUUCAAAGAGUGCCUCCAGAUGGCACUCAAGUGAUAAAUAAGGAUCAGGUGUUUCGUACAUAUCCAGAAACGUUAAAAUGUCAUCGAGAAAUUGUAAAUAUUAUACGAUGCUGAUGCUUUUGGUUAUAUAUAUGUGGUGAAUUUAUGAAAGUUAGAGACACUAAAUAUGAGUUAAAGUCAUGUCAAGUUUUCUGCGAUGCCUAUGAAGCAUAUUUUGACUACUGUUCGAAAUCAAGAUAAAUCAUGAACUCCACAUAUUGCUUGUGGUUAUCGUAAAAGAUGUUUGGAAGGCUAGUAUCGAGGUGAAAAAAGGUCUAUGAAGUUUGCGACACCAAGAAUUCGGCGUGAACCAAAGGUCCAUGUCCAUGAUUUCUACUUUUGUAUUGUUAACCCGAGUAAACGACGUAGAGGUAAAAAUGCAAAACCUGUCGAAUAUCCUGACCUUGCUUCUUCUUCUGCUCCAAUUCCACAUGACCUGACUCGACCAGUGCCAAACAACCAAAAUACCAUCUUAUUAGUACAGAAUGACCUAAUAAGAGAUUUUAAUUUACCAAAAAAUAAAGCAGAGCUUUUAGGCUCCCGGUUAAAACAAUGGAAUUUGCUUGUUGAUGUUAAUACUUGUAUAACAGAUUAACGAACUAGGCAUGAGACAUUUUCAACGUUUUUCACAAGAAAGAAGAAAUUGGCAUAUCUUGCAUUCCUAGCGAAUGGCGCUUAUUUAUAGACAGCUCUACCAAAAGGUUGAUAGCCGUUUUAUUACACAUAGGAAAUAAAUUUCCAUCCCUUCUAAUUGCUCACUCGGUACAUAUGAAAGAAAAUUAUGAUAGUGUUAAAAUCUUGCUUGACACAGUAAAGUAUGACGAGUACAAUUGGCAGUUGAUUGGUGAUUUUAAAAUGGUCAGAUUUUUAAUGGGAUUACAGAGCGGAUAUACCAAGUUUCCGUGCUAUCUGUGCUUAUGGGACAGCAGAGCGGAUGCUAAGCACUACAUUCAACGGUCUUGGCCUGAAAGAACCGAAUUUUGUAUCGGGAAACAAAACGUAAAAUUCAGUUCUAUUGUGGAAGCAGAAAAAGUGUUAAUGCCACCUCUCCAUAUUAAGUUGGGAUUCAUGAAACAAUUCGUGAAAAAACUCGAUCAAACUUCAGAAGUUUUUGAAUACUUAAGAAAUUUUUUUCGGAAAUUAUCAGAAGCAAAGGUAAAAGCUGGGAUUUUUGUUGGUCCACAAAUUAGAAAAAUUUUCGGCGAUGACUUAUUUGAAUAGUGAAACUUAAUAAAAAUGAUAAAUAUAUUUAUCUAUGUAGUUCUUUCCUAAAUUAAACAUUAAAACCACAUAUUUUGAGAAAAUUCGCUUAAUUAGUUUCCUGACCACAAAAGCAAACUUUUGAAGGUCAUAUAUUUUUUUUUCAUGUAUUUGUGACCUAAACCAAAGAAAUUGUAAACUUUCAAGUCGAGGUCAAAUUUCGUGUUGACACGUGUAAUCUAUUCCACAUUUUGCUAAGACAUCUAGUAAAAUAAACAGAGUUUUCCAUACAAGAACUCGAUAUACGAAAAUUAUGGCACAAAGCGCCCCAAGCUUUUUUCUCAAUUAUACUAUUAUUAUACUCUCGCAACCUGUUGCUA
This is a long non-coding RNA of Bactrocera oleae (olive fruit fly), 1858 nucleotides long. RefSeq lists it as uncharacterized. NCBI's taxonomy places the organism in Eukaryota, Metazoa, Arthropoda, Insecta, Diptera, Tephritidae. The record is from RefSeq and is a predicted model, not a curated record.